GACAGAGGCCUCAAGCGUUAGGCGGAAUCACUGGGCUUAAAGCGUGUGUAGGCGGAUCGUUAAGUGUCUUGUGAAAUCCCACGGCUCACCCGUAGAACUGCUGGGCAUACUGGCGAUCUUGGGCCAACUAGGGGCAACUGGAACAAGCGGUGGAGCGGUGAAAUGCGUAGAUAUCGCUUGGAACGCCGAAGGUGAAAACAGGUUGCUGGGGUUGUGCCGACGCUGAGACACGAAAGCCAGGGGAGCAAACGGG
Molecule: ribosomal RNA, 253 nt
Filed under: uncultured bacterium
Lineage: Bacteria
Description: partial 16S ribosomal RNA
Rfam family: Bacterial small subunit ribosomal RNA
Source: RNAcentral